Molecule: ribosomal RNA, 1372 nt
Filed under: uncultured bacterium
Lineage: Bacteria
Description: bacterial SSU rRNA
Rfam family: Bacterial small subunit ribosomal RNA
Source: RNAcentral
GAUGAACGCUGGCGGCGUGCCUAAUACAUGCAAGUCGAGCGAACGGACGAGAAGCUUGCUUCUCUGAUGUUAGCGGCGGACGGGUGAGUAACACGUGGAUAACCUACCUAUAAGACUGGGAUAACUUCGGGAAACCGGAGCUAAUACCGGAUAAUAUUUUGAACCGCAUGGUUCAAAAGUGAAAGACGGUCUUGCUGUCACUUAUAGAUGGAUCCGCGCUGCAUUAGCUAGUUGGUAAGGUAACGGCUUACCAAGGCAACGAUGCAUAGCCGACCUGAGAGGGUGAUCGGCCACACUGGAACUGAGACACGGUCCAGACUCCUACGGGAGGCAGCAGUAGGGAAUCUUCCGCAAUGGGCGAAAGCCUGACGGAGCAACGCCGCGUGAGUGAUGAAGGUCUUCGGAUCGUAAAACUCUGUUAUUAGGGAAGAACAUAUGUGUAAGUAACUGUGCACAUCUUGACGGUACCUAAUCAGAAAGCCACGGCUAACUACGUGCCAGCAGCCGCGGUAAUACGUAGGUGGCAAGCGUUAUCCGGAAUUAUUGGGCGUAAAGCGCGCGUAGGCGGUUUUUUAAGUCUGAUGUGAAAGCCCACGGCUCAACCGUGGAGGGUCAUUGGAAACUGGAAAACUUGAGUGCAGAAGAGGAAAGUGGAAUUCCAUGUGUAGCGGUGAAAUGCGCAGAGAUAUGGAGGAACACCAGUGGCGAAGGCGACUUUCUGGUCUGUAACUGACGCUGAUGUGCGAAAGCGUGGGGAUCAAACAGGAUUGGAUACCCUGGUAGUCCACGCCGUAAACGAUGAGUGCUAAGUGUUAGGGGGUUUCCGCCCCUUAGUGCUGCAGCUAACGCAUUAAGCACUCCGCCUGGGGAGUACGACCGCAAGGUUGAAACUCAAAGGAAUUGACGGGGACCCGCACAAGCGGUGGAGCAUGUGGUUUAAUUCGAAGCAACGCGAAGAACCUUACCAAAUCUUGACAUCCUUUGACAACUCUAGAGAUAGAGCUUUCCCCUUCGGGGGACAAAGUGACAGGUGGUGCAUGGUUGUCGUCAGCUCGUGUCGUGAGAUGUUGGGUUAAGUCCCGCAACGAGCGCAACCCUUAAGCUUAGUUGCCAUCAUUAAGUUGGGCACUCUAAGUUGACUGCCGGUGACAAACCGGAGGAAGGUGGGGAUGACGUCAAAUCAUCAUGCCCCUUAUGAUUUGGGCUACACGCGUGCUACAAUGGACAAUACAAAGGGCAGCGAAACCGUGAGGUCAAGCAAAUCCCAUAAAGUUGUUCUCAGUUCGGAUUGUAGUCUGCAACUCGACUACAUGAAGCUGGAAUCGCUAGUAAUCGUAGAUCAGCAUGCUACGGUGAAUACGUUCCCGGGUCU